CUACGGGUGGCAGCAGCCGAGAAUAUUCCACAAUGGGCGAAAGCCUGAUGGAGCGACGCCGCGUGCAGGAAGAAGUUCUUCGGAAUGUAAACUGCUUUUAUGAGGGAAAAACUUUGAUAUUACCUCAUGAAUAAGGGGUUGCUAAAGCUCGUGCCAGCAGCAGCGGUAAUACGAGUACCCCAAGCGUUAUCCGGAUUUAUUGGGCGUAAAGCGUCUGUAGUUGGUUUAGAUAGUCAGGUGACAAAGCCCGAUGCUCAACAUCGGAUCUUCACUUGAAACGUCUAAACUAGAGCAUGUAAGAGGCAAACGGAACUUACGGUGUAGGAGUGAAAUCCGUUGAUAUCGUAGGGAACACCAAAAGCGAAGGCAGUUUGCUGGGACAUUGCUGACAAUGAGAGACGAAAGCGUGGGUAGCGAAUGGGAUUAGAUACCCCUGUAGUC
This 441-nucleotide ribosomal RNA is filed under the name uncultured bacterium. Its description in RNAcentral is "partial 16S ribosomal RNA". It matches the Rfam family "Bacterial small subunit ribosomal RNA", at positions 339 to 795 of the family's 1533-position model. The record is from RNAcentral.